This 874-nucleotide ribosomal RNA is filed under the name uncultured Bacteroidota bacterium. RNAcentral's name for it is "bacterial SSU rRNA". It matches the Rfam family "Bacterial small subunit ribosomal RNA", at positions 1 to 870 of the family's 1533-position model. Lineage: Bacteria; Pseudomonadati; Bacteroidota. The record is from RNAcentral.
UGGAUCCAGACUUUGAUCCUGGCUCAGGAUGAACGCUAGCGACAGGCUUAACACAUGCAAGUCGAGGGGCAGCGAGGAAGUGGUAACACUUCCGUCGGCGACCGGCGCACGGGUGAGUAACGCGUAUGCAACCUGCCCUUCACAGGGGGAUAACCGGGAGAAAUUCCGACUAAUACCGCAUACGUCCUUUGGGGGCAUCCCCGGGGGAUGAAAGAAUUAUCGGUGAAGGAUGGGCACGCGUGAUAUUAGGUAGUUGGCGGGGCAACGGCCCACCGAGCCUACGAUAUCUAGGGGUUCUGAGAGGAAGGUCCCCCACAUUGGUACUGAGACACGGACCAAACUCCUACGGGAGGCAGCAGUGAGGAAUAUUGGUCAAUGGACGAGAGUCUGAACCAGCCAAGUCGCGUGAAGGAGGACGGAUCUAUGGUUUGUAAACUUCUUUAGUGCGGGAACAAAGCGGUGUCGUGACGCCGGAUGAGUGUACCGCAAGAAUAAGCAUCGGCUAACUCCGUGCCAGCAGCCGCGGUAAUACGGAGGAUGCGAGCGUUAUCCGGAUUUAUUGGGUUUAAAGGGAGCGCAGGCUGCGAGGCAAGUCAGCGGUCAAAUGUCGGGGCUCAACCCCGGCCUGCCGUUGAAACUGUCCUGCUAGAGUUCGAGUGAGGUAUGCGGAAUGCGUUGUGUAGCGGUGGAAUGCAUAGAUAUGACGCAGAACUCCGAUUGCGAAGGCAGCAUACCAACUCGCGACUGACGCUGAGGCUCGAAAGCGUGGGUAUCGAACAGGAUUAGAUACCCUGGUAGUCCACGCAGUAAACGAUGAAUACUAACUGUUCGGAGGGCGACCUCUGAGUGGUAAAGCGAAAGCGUUAAGUAUUCC